RNAcentral lists this ribosomal RNA (433 nucleotides) under uncultured bacterium. RNAcentral's name for it is "partial 16S ribosomal RNA". It matches the Rfam family "Bacterial small subunit ribosomal RNA", at positions 29 to 507 of the family's 1533-position model. The record is from RNAcentral.
AACGAACGCUGGCGGCAUGCCUAACACAUGCAAGUCGAACGAGACCUUCGGGUCUAGUUGCGCACGGGUGCGUAACGCGUGGGAACCUGCCCUUAGGUUCGGAAUAACUCCCCGAAAGGGGUGCUAAUACCGGAUAAUUUCUUCGGACCAAAGAUUUAUCGCCUUUGGAUGGGCCCGCGUUGGAUUAGCUAGUGGGUAGGGUAAAAGCCUACCAAGGCGACGAUCCAUAGCUGGUCUGAGAGGAUGAUCAGCCACACUGGGACUGAGACACGGCCCAGACUCCUACGGGAAGCAGCAGUGGGGAAUAUUGGACAAUGGGCGAAAGCCUGAUCCAGCAAUGCCGCGUGAGUGAUGAAGGCCUUAGGGUUGUAAAGCUCUUUUACCCGGGAUGAUAAUGACAGUACCGGGAGAAUAAGCUCCGGCUAACUCCGCG